ACAACCAAAAACCCCAGUAACCAAAAAGACAAUCGAGCCCUCACCACCAUCGCCAUGCUCUCUGCAGUCUCGUCUUCCCUCCUUACCUUCCACAAGCCCUUCACUCGCGCUCUUCGACUCCCCCUCCCCAAACUCCCCAUUUCUUCAAACCCUAAACCCCUCUCUUCUCUCUCCCCCGCCACUUCUUCUCUCAUCCCCAAUUCCACCGGCGGUGGUCGCGCCGGGGCUUUAUCUCCGGCCCCGGCCACCGACGACCUCCAGAAGAUCGAUGUUAACCCUCCCAAGGGCACGAGGGACUUCCCACCCGAAGAUAUGCGCCUCCGCAACUGGCUCUUCUACAAUUUCAGAGAGGUCUCGCGGCUGUUCGGCUUCGAAGAGGUCGACUAUCCGGUUCUUGAGACGGAGGCUCUGUUUAUCAGAAAGGCAGGGGAGGAGAUUCGAGACCAGCUGUAUUGCUUCGAAGAUCGGGGAAAUCGUCGCGUUGCGCUGAGGCCGGAGCUCACUCCUUCUUUGGCAAGGCUGGUGAUACAGAAAGGAAAAUCUCUAUCCCUUCCGUUGAAAUGGUUUGCCAUUGGGCAGUGUUGGCGGUAUGAGAGGAUGACAAGGGGGCGGCGUCGGGAGCAUUACCAGUGGAAUAUGGAUGUUAUUGGUGUACCUGAGGUUACGGCUGAAGCAGAACUUAUUUCUUCAAUUGUCACUUUCUUCAAGCGAGUAGGAAUUACAGCAUCAGAUGUUGGAUUCAAGGUUUCUAGUCGUAAGGUUUUACAAGAAGUAUUGAGGCGUUAUUCCAUACCCGAAGCUUUAUUUGGCAAAGUUUGCAUCAUCAUAGACAAGAUAGAGAAGAUUCCAGUGGAUGAUAUAAAAAAUGAGUUGAAAUCUGCUGGUGUAUCUGAAGAGGCUAUUGAACAGUUAUUGCAAGUUCUUUCCAUAAAGUCAUUGACAAAGCUGGAAGAGAUACUUGGAGGAGCAGGGGAAGCAGUUGCUGAUCUGAAACAACUAUUCUCUCUUGCUGACAAAUUUGGUUACUCUGAAUGGAUUCAGUUUGAUGCUUCUAUUGUUCGUGGCCUUGCCUACUACACUGGUAUUGUCUUUGAGGGUUUUGAUAGAGGAGGAAAGUUACGAGCCAUUUGUGGUGGUGGGCGAUAUGACCGCUUGCUUUCUACUUUUGGUGGUGAUGACAUUUCUGCUUGUGGAUUUGGGUUUGGUGAUGCUGUUAUAGUGGAAUUGCUUAAGGAGAAGGGUCUUCUACCGGAACUCAGCCUGCAAGUAGAGAACAUUGUGUGUGCUCUUGAUCCUGGACUCCAAGGAGCAGCUGCAACAGUUGCCACCAUACUCAGGGGAAAAGGUCAAAGUGUUGAUUUAGUCUUGGAGAACAAACCGCUUAAAUGGGUAUUCAAGCGUGCAUCACGAAUAAAUGCUAACAGGCUGAUAUUGGUGGGAGAUUCGGAGUGGCAAAGGGGUAUGGUGAGUGUGAAAGUCCUUUCUUCCGGCGAACAACGUGAGAUCAAACUUGAUGAACUAGAGUGAUAAGAAUUUGAUUAUUUGGAGGUUGUAGUGUUUAUUUUUAUCUUUAUAGGAUGCUGUGCUUGGUGUAGCAAUAGUUUUCAUUUGUUGCCUUUUGGUUUGCAUUUUACCUUUGUGAAAAAUUAAGAAAUGAAGUGACCUGCAUCGCACAUUGUGCUUUCCUCUAAAUUCAAAAUUUUGAAAUACAAGAAAAUUUAGAGAAAUUUGAUUUAUGUGAAAGAAUGUCUGCCACCUCGAGAGUGCAGAUUGUGUUGGGAAUGGUAAUGGUUGCUCCGAGUUGAUGAAGAAUGUGACCCAGUGUCUUUCUGACGAAGAACAGUGCAGAUGACUUGAAGUCUUCCAGAUUAAUGCUCUGCCGAAUCAUGAAGCCUAACAAAGAAAACCGGAGUCGCACCAAUCUCAUGCCCCCACAUGGGUGUUUUGGAAUUGCAUCAGCAUGAGCGGCCAAAUUUGAGGCAGCGGCCAGCAAGCAACGUGCUCGUGAGCAGUCACGUAAUGGAUUCCAAACUCUUGUACUAUCUUCGGUGGAAGUUUGUGAUAACGGAGGAUAUUUAUGUGCUUUCAGUUUAUUGCCCUCCAUGCAUCAUGAUUCUGGAAGGAAAGGAAAUUGAAAGGAUUAGAAGAAGGGUGAAAGUUGCUCCAUAAUUCAUCGCAUCUAUCUAGCUGCUUCUAUUUUUUCCCUGCUUUCUUCUGCUGGUUUUGGUCGUUUUCGCCUUUUUGUUCAUUUGUCCUGGUAGUGUCUCAAUCGAGGCAGAUCUGUCACCACUGCCGCUGCCACCACUUGUCCGAUGGCUUUGCCUCCUCUCAAAUCUCAAUCAAUGAUCAUGGUUGAUUAAGUGAGGGCAUGACCUCAGUGGCUCGGUUCUCUUUUACUGUUUAUUUUUUAUUUGUCAAACGAUAAAUUUGUUAAAUUAGAUGUUAAAUUAGAGAGCUGAUGAAGUUCGAAUCUA
Malus domestica (apple) is the source of this 2474-nucleotide RNA transcript. It is a transcript of the gene named histidine--tRNA ligase, chloroplastic/mitochondrial, with no coding region annotated. Lineage: Eukaryota; Viridiplantae; Streptophyta; Magnoliopsida; Rosales; Rosaceae. The record is from RefSeq and is a predicted model, not a curated record.